This 397-nucleotide ribosomal RNA is filed under the name uncultured bacterium. RNAcentral describes it as "partial 16S ribosomal RNA". It matches the Rfam family "Bacterial small subunit ribosomal RNA", at positions 523 to 918 of the family's 1533-position model. The record is from RNAcentral.
AUACGUAGGGGGCGAGCGUUGUCCGGAAUGAUUGGGCGUAAAGGGCGCGUAGGCGGCCCGGUAAGUCUGGAGUGAAAGUCCUGUUUUUAAGAUGGGAAUUGCUUUGGAUACUGUCGGGCUUGAGUGCAGGAGAGGUAAGUGGAAUUCCCAGGGUAGCGGUGAGAUGCUGAGAGAUUGGGAGGAACACCAGUGGCGAAGGCGACUUACUGGACUGUAACUGACGCUGAGGCGCGAAAGUGUGGGGAGCAAACAGGAUUAGAUCCCCUGGUAGUCCACACUGUAAACGAUGAAUGCUAGGUGUAGGGGGUAUCGACCCCUUCUGUGCCGCAGUCAACACAAUAAGCAUUCCGCCUGGGGAGUACGGCCGCAAGGUUGAAACUCAAAGGAAUUGACGGGG